CACCUCUCAAGCGUAGCUUGGUAUUGGGCCUCGCUCCCUCAAAAGGGCGUGCCUGAAAAAUAGUGGCGGUCCGGCGUGGCCUUGAACGUAGUAAAUAUUCUCCCGUUUUGAAGGUCUGCGUCGCGGCUGGCCAGAAGUGCCCACAUUUUCAAG
This 153-nucleotide unclassified non-coding RNA is filed under the name Bacidina mendax. Its description in RNAcentral is "partial internal transcribed spacer 2". Lineage: Eukaryota; Fungi; Ascomycota; Lecanoromycetes; Lecanorales; Ramalinaceae. The record is from RNAcentral.